ACUUCGCGCGGCACGCGAGGUCCUCCGUCAAUCCAUAACUGACAACGACCAAGAGACAGCUACGUGAUCCAAUCGGAGCCGUCCGCCCCCCGAACCGACUCAAUCGACGAGAGAACCCCUGUAUAAUUGCCCUCCCCUCCUUGCUAUCCUCUCUCCUCUCAUCGCCUGUCGCAGGCUCCUCUCCUCCUCGUUCCUCCCUGCACGUCAACUGCGAGGAUGUUGCUAUUUAGGCUGGUUCGAUCCUUUGUUGGAAGAAUUCCACCUUGGUGGAUGUCCUACCCUAAGAGAUGACGCGAGUCCAAGAUCUUCUCGCGACUCGCUCGUGAUGGCUGAUCGAUCCAUGUGCCGGAUCCGUCAAUUUGUGUUCCAAUUCUUCACCGAGUGAUCAAUCCAAGAGAAGUUCAUCUGGCUACAGGUGGCAUGCUGGCACCGGUUAUUUUCCGCUGGUAUCUAAACCAACUUUAGUUGAAGAUCAAGACGGCGUGAAGAACAGCUCAUCUGGGUUAUGUUCCUGUUCGCUGAUCAAAUGAUGUUUGAUGGUGAGAUGUGCUUGCCUGUCUCCAGAUUAAGGUAAUUGUGCUGGUAAGCUGAUGCGCAUCAUGCGUAUUGUACUACAUGUACCUAGAUUGGUAGACCAGGACGGCCUUUGCCAUGUCGGGUGCGCUCGCUUGGCAGGCCACGAGGCAAUAAAAGUACAUUUUGUUGUGUUCGCGGGGUGGAGAUCGCACGGGGAACUAUAUAUUUGUUUUAUUUU
Long non-coding RNA from Lolium perenne, 754 nucleotides. RefSeq lists it as uncharacterized. The record is from RefSeq and is a predicted model, not a curated record. Lineage: Eukaryota; Viridiplantae; Streptophyta; Magnoliopsida; Poales; Poaceae.